Molecule: ribosomal RNA, 464 nt
Filed under: Vreelandella stevensii
Lineage: Bacteria; Pseudomonadati; Pseudomonadota; Gammaproteobacteria; Oceanospirillales; Halomonadaceae
Description: partial 16S ribosomal RNA
Rfam family: Bacterial small subunit ribosomal RNA
Source: RNAcentral
CCUACGGGGGGCAGCAGUGGGGAAUAUUGGACAAUGGGCGAAAGCCUGAUCCAGCCAUGCCGCGUGUGUGAAGAAGGCCUUCGGGUUGUAAAGCACUUUCAGUGGGGAAGAAAGCCUUGGGGCUAAUACCCUCGAGGAAGGACAUCACCAACAGAAGAAGCACCGGCUAACUCCGUGCCAGCAGCCGCGGUAAUACGGAGGGUGCGAGCGUUAAUCGGAAUUACUGGGCGUAAAGCGCGCGUAGGCGGUCUGAUAAGCCGGUUGUGAAAGCCCCGGGCUCAACCUGGGAACGGCAUCCGGAACUGUCAGGCUAGAGUGCAGGAGAGGAAGGUAGAAUUCCCGGUGUAGAGGUGAAAUGCGUAGAGAUCGGGAGGAAUACCAGUGGCGAAGGCGGCCUUCUGGACUGACACUGACGCUGAGGUGCGAAAGCGUGGGUAGCAAACAGGAUUAGUACCCCAGUAGUC